CCUACGGGAGGCAGCAGUGAGGAAUAUUGGUCAAUGGGCGCGAGCCUGAACCAGCCAAGUAGCGUGAAGGAUGACUGCCCUACGGGUUGUAAACUUCUUUUAUAAAGGGAUAAAGUGAGGCACGUGUGCCUUUUUGUAUGUACUUUAUGAAUAAGGUUCGGCUAACUCCGUGCAAGCAGCCGCGGUAAUACGGAGGAUCCGAGCGUUAUCCGGAUUUAUUGGGUUUAAAGGGAGCGUAGAUGGGUUGUUAAGUCAGUUGUGAAAGUUUGCGGCUCAACCGGAAAAUUGCAAUUGAUACUGGCAGCCUUGAGUACAGUUGAGGUAGGCGGAAUUCGUGGUGUAGCGGUGAAAUGCUUAGAUAUCACGAAGAACUCCGAUUGCGAAGGCAGCUUACUAAACUGCCACUGACAUUGAUGCUCGAAAGUGUGGGUAUCAAACAGGAUUAGAUACCCCUGUAGUC
This 460-nucleotide ribosomal RNA is filed under the name uncultured bacterium. RNAcentral's name for it is "partial 16S ribosomal RNA". It matches the Rfam family "Bacterial small subunit ribosomal RNA", at positions 338 to 795 of the family's 1533-position model. The record is from RNAcentral.